This is a non-coding RNA of Pelobates cultripes (western spadefoot toad), 204 nucleotides long. NCBI's taxonomy places the organism in Eukaryota, Metazoa, Chordata, Amphibia, Anura, Pelobatidae. The record is from the annotation of a GenBank genome assembly.
AGCAGAAGCAGUGAAUAUUCCCUGGAAAAUGUUAAACAAAUUUUAUUACAGCCCCACAUUUGGUGUUUUAUCCCCGCAAGCUUCCAUAGCAAUACCGUAGCUAAUACAUAGAUUUAUUUUUUUCUCAUUUUUACAUUAAGGCUACAGUUAUAAAUAUGUCAUUGAUGGGUUGACCAGUACAACAGAGGUACGGUAACACUUAAU